RNAcentral lists this ribosomal RNA (711 nucleotides) under uncultured bacterium. Its description in RNAcentral is "bacterial SSU rRNA". It matches the Rfam family "Bacterial small subunit ribosomal RNA", at positions 94 to 823 of the family's 1533-position model. The record is from RNAcentral.
AGCGGCGGACGGGUGAGUAACGCGUGGGUAACCUGCCCUAUACACACGGAUAACAUACCGAAAGGUAUGCUAAUACGAGAUAAUAUAAGAGAUUCACAUGGAUUUCUUAUCAAAGCUGAGGAGGUAUAGGAUGGACCCGCGUCUGAUUAGCUAGUUGGUAAGGUAACGGCUUACCAAGGCGACGAUCAGUAGCCGACCUGAGAGGGUGAUCGGCCACAUUGGAACUGAGACACGGUCCAAACUCCUACGGGAGGCAGCAGUGGGGAAUAUUGCACAAUGGGCGAAAGCCUGAUGCAGCAACGCCGCGUGAGUGAUGAAGGCCUUCGGGUCGUAAAACUCUGUCCUCAAGGAAGAUAAUGACGGUACUUGAGGAGGAAGCCCCGGCUAACUACGUGCCAGCAGCCGCGGUAAUACGUAGGGGGCUAGCGUUAUCCGGAUUUACUGGGCGUAAAGGGUGCGUAGGUGGUCUCUUAAGUCAGGAGUGAAAGGCUACGGCUUAACCAUAGUAAGCUCUUGAAACUGGGAGACUUGAGUGCAGGAGAGGAAAGUGGAAUUCCUAGUGUAGCGGUGAAAUGGCGUAGAUAUUAGGAGGAACACCAGUAGCGAAGGCGGCUUUCUGGACUGUAACUGACACUGAGGCACGAAAGCGUGGGGAGCAAACAGGAUUAGAUACCCUGGUAGUCCACGCCGUAAACGAUGAGUACUAGGUGU